This 253-nucleotide ribosomal RNA is filed under the name uncultured bacterium. Its description in RNAcentral is "partial 16S ribosomal RNA". It matches the Rfam family "Bacterial small subunit ribosomal RNA", at positions 524 to 776 of the family's 1533-position model. The record is from RNAcentral.
UACGUAGGGGGCGAGCGUUGUCCGGAGUUACUGGGCGUAAAGCGCACGUAGGCGGUUCGUUAAGUCGGAUGUGAAAGCCCUCGGCUCAACUGAGGAAGUGCACCCGAAACUGGCGAGCUUGAGUACGAAAGAGGAUCGCGGAAUUCCCGGUGUAGAGGUGAAAUUCGUAGAUAUCGGGAGGAACACCGGUGGCGAAGGCGGCGAUCUGGGUCGAUACUGACGCUGAGGUGCGAAAGCGUGGGGAGCAAACAGG